UUUUUUUUUUUUUUUUUGUCCACUGAGGGGUGGGGGAAGUUGAGGGCAUCAGAUAUUUGAGAAGGUGGAGAAAAUAUAAAAGAGUCGAUACAAAUAAUCAAAACUAGUAGCUAGAAUGAAUACUAGCUAGGCAGAGCUGAGGGUCCAGUUAAGAUAGGUGGCCAUGAAUUCAAAUCUACAUCUAUCUGCUCAGCUGUGUGAUUUUCUUCAGCAGCAUUAAAGCUCUUGUUUGUUUGAUGGUUGUGGAUUUGGUAAAAUGCUGAUCUUUCCCCUAUAUUGAGAGAAAUGUGAGUAAUCACAAAGAGGCCUGAUAAUAAUUAUGAGUAAUUUAUCAAGGCCCUUCCAGGGUUCCUCUGCAUAGGGUGGUUUUGGAUGGCUAGACAUUUACAUAGCACAUAGUGGCUUUCUUUUGUUUCCCAUCUUCCUGGUGAAUUGAGCCACAAUUUCUUCUCCUAAGCAUAAAUACCUGCAGACCUUAGUUACAGUCAUCCCUGUGAACAAGGGUGAGGGUGGAAAGGGUAAGGAAUGUCUGUGUUUCCUAUCACCAGGUAAAUGGGAUCUUGAUGCUUGGCAUGGGGUCCCAAGAGCUUGCCAAUACCCAUGUGUAUUAUCAAAAAAUGAGAUAAUGCCGCCGUCAAAUAAAAGAUCAGGGCCGGGUGUAGUGGCUCAUACCUUUGUAUUUUAAUCACAUACAGGAUACAUACUCGUACUCAGAAUGUGAGUUCAAGGAUCAGUGGCACAAAUAGGGGAAAUGACCUCAAGUUCCAAAUGAGUGUUAAUGUAGUUCUAUUAAAGCGUCUGAGUGCGGAGAAAUCAUUUCUUGAAUUUUGCAGGGCAAGCAUGACUGCUUUGACUCCUUUUCGUGUGCCUCACAGCGUGCUUAUAAGCCAUGUCUCCAGGGACAUACACUCAUUGUAAAGUGCCCCUAAUGAUAAUAAAGUGAAGGAUCUGCUGCAACUCAAAGGAAAUUGAAAGUGCUUUAAGUUCUACAUUCCAAAGUCAGAGCUAGAGAGGCAGGCUGGAUUUUCUGCUGAUGUGGAUUGCCUGCUGUUGGUUUGGGCCACGCUAGGUAUGAGAUAAUGUUUUAGAUUACUGCUGGGUUCUUCUGGGCCUGGCAACAUAAAGAACACGUCUAAUCAAUGCAUCAGCUGCUAUGGCUCAUUCACCUUCCUGCAGUGUUGUGUGGCCACAGCCUGUAAGAAUGUGACCCGGAAAUCCCCAAGUAGGGCCCUCGGGUGUGCCCGAGUCCCUCAUGCCCACCCAUCCACCCCUCUGCAUUCUAACAUUUCAGUGGUUGUGUUCAGGCAAAGUGUCUUCUGCUCAUGCUCAGGAGGAAGAGUUCACUUGACCUCCCUGUGGCUCAUUGCCCCGAGGAUACCAGGGCUCUCUCAGCCUGGCUGCGUGACAACAGAGGGACACCAUUAUCAGAGAAACCACGGCUGAUGAGCAGCUCUAGGCCAGAGACGCCAAAUGCUACCUGGACAUGAAGAGAGAGGUCCCAGCAGACCCCCGGGGGACAGGUUUAAAUUAGGUUCCAGCCUCCCCUUCCUGGUGUCAGGAGUUACUCAUCUUGAUUUACUUAUCUUGCAAAGGAGCCAAGGUAUCCUGCUGUAGCUGCCUACUAUCUUCUGUCUCUUCCACAACUCCCAUGUCUCUUUUGGGUUUCUGCUCCACUUCUCAUGGGCUACUUGGAGUAGGAAGUAGGUUUCAAUAAUAAAAAAACUAAAUAAAACAAAAACAUCAUCUGAUUUGCCUCCAGCUCUGCCACAGACUAUUUGACCCUGGAAAAAUCCCUUCCCUUUUCUGACACUCCUCUGUAAAAUAGCCUGGAUCAGUAGCUUUCAUAUUGCAUUCUGUGAAGCUGCCAGGAGCCUGAAG
Molecule: long non-coding RNA, 1878 nt
Filed under: Macaca fascicularis (crab-eating macaque)
Lineage: Eukaryota; Metazoa; Chordata; Mammalia; Primates; Cercopithecidae
Description: lncRNA (ENSMFAG00000049696.1)
Source: RNAcentral